This 253-nucleotide ribosomal RNA is filed under the name uncultured bacterium. RNAcentral describes it as "partial 16S ribosomal RNA". It matches the Rfam family "Bacterial small subunit ribosomal RNA", at positions 524 to 776 of the family's 1533-position model. The record is from RNAcentral.
UACGUAGGGUGCGAGCGUUAAUCGGAAUUACUGGGCGUAAAGCGUGCGCAGGCGGUUUUGUAAGCCAGAUGUGAAAGCCCCGGGCUUAACCUGGGAAUGGCAUUUGGGACUGCAAGGCUUGAGUGCGGCAGAGGAGACUGGAAUUCCUGGUGUAGCAGUGAAAUGCGUAGAUAUCAGGAGGAACACCGGUGGCGAAGGCGGGUCUCUGGGCCGAUACUGACGCUGAGGAGCGAAAGCGUGGGGAGCAAACAGG